Long non-coding RNA from Microplitis demolitor, 2539 nucleotides. RefSeq lists it as uncharacterized. The record is from RefSeq and is a predicted model, not a curated record. Lineage: Eukaryota; Metazoa; Arthropoda; Insecta; Hymenoptera; Braconidae. The transcript has 2 exons.
CAUUAAAAAUUAAAAAUUCGAAUUCUCUGCUUUAAUCGGAAUUUUUAAUGGAAAUCUAUGACGAUAAAUAACAUGACAUAUCAAUGCUUCAAAGAUUGUAGAUGUUUAUAACAGGGCUAAGCUGCUACUCUGGUCGUCCUUUUAUCAAGGGCGCCACUGGAAGUGAUAACGGCUUCUCAGAGCCGGAUCUUAGAUGAUAAAAAAAAAUUUUAAGUCGAUUUUAUCAAUUGUUUGCUAGGCUGUUAAUUGCAUGAUAAUCUAUUUUUUGAGUCUACUGUAAUAUCUCUUGUGAAAUAAAAAGAGUGGGAACUAUAUAGAAGUAAUUAAUUUAAUUGACAGUGAUUGUUUUUAUAAUUUCUAUAUAAAAUACUUAUUGUGCAUUUAUAUAUUUUAAAUGUGUAAUUGUGUCGAUUUUAAUGUUAAAAAAUGAAUGUUGAAAUUUCAGACCAACUGGAGAAUUUUUUUUUUAAUUUAUGGCAGAAAAUUUAUCCAUAGGAAUUGGGUUUAAUCCAGUGAAUAUUAAUUUUUUUUCAGAUUUCUCCCUGGAUUAUCUUAGGAUAUUAAUUAAAAUUCGUGCAAUAAUAAUUAACACAUGAUAAUCACUAGAAAAUUAAAGAAUUACAUUCCAGGAAAAUGUAACUUUGAUAACAAUAGAGGAUAAUAUUGAAACAAAUAAGUCGUUAACUUAAUGCAUGAUAAUUUUUAUCAAAAUAUACGUAAUUGGAAAUCCCCAGCCGAUUGAUUCCUUUGUGUUUUAUGUUUGUUAAUUAGUGUAAAUAUCUACUUUCGGCUUCAGUUAUUAGUCUAAGUGUACAUCGAAAGGCAUAAUGAUGAAGUUAUAUCUUUUCUUUUUGCUAGUAGCAACGCUGGUGAUAAGUUGUCAAUGUAAUCCGCGGAAAAUUGAAGCCACUACUCCACAAAUUCCGUCACUAGUUGAAACCUCGGCAAUCACUCGAAAAAAUUGGUUAUUAUGCACAGAAUGGUCUAUUUCGACCUCGCAACUACCAAGUGGUCAAUUCAACAUCUGGAUCAACUGCCGCUAGAGAGUUAUAGCAUUCAUCUUCAAACUCUGAUCAAAAUUCUUCAUAUAUAAUAUCAUUUCAUCUUAUGAUGUCUAUAGACUUAAAAAUUUAAACGAUCAUUGCAAACAUUCUUUUAACAAUGCCCACCUACGCAAUCAUUGCAUAGCAAAAACAACGUCAAACUUACCAAACCUAAUAUAUUUGCUAAGUAUUUGAAAAAUUGAUAUCUUUCCGUCAAUUUUAUUUUCAAUUAACUCGUUCAUUGAUAAAAAAAUUUCUUAAAUUAUUUCAAUUCCAAAUAUUGAAACCUAUUGUACACGGAAAGAAAUAGGUGUUGCAACAGCACAUAAUCCUGUUGCAGCAACAUAAUUCUUAUGUUAUAACAACAAGACACAUCUCCUUGCUCUCACAGGUUGUGUCCUGUUGCUGUAACAUGAAAAUCCUGCUGCUCUGACAGGAUUUGUUCUAUCGCUGUGAAAUGAAAAUCCUGUUGCUGUAACAGGAUUUUGUCCUGUUGCUCCCACAGGACUGCGUCUUAUUGCAGCACCUACUUUUUUCCGUGUACAUAUUAUCUCCUCUAGCCUUGAUACCCAUGAGAAUUCAUAUACAGUAUAUAUAUUACAUAUAUUUGGCGACGAUACUUUAGAGUUAGAUUGCAAUGAUCACUGCUUAAGUCGCCAAAUACCAAAGAGUGAAACGUCGUAAGGGACAAUGAGAAGAGGAGAGAUGGAAAAAUGUAUUUGAUAGGUGAGAGGCGUUUCGUCAAAGUAUACAAUAGCUGAGACUCCUCAGUUAAGUGCGUACAUCGUAUACCUCACCUAAGACGCCGUGUUGGAAGUUAUAUGUUGAAAAAUGUUAUAUAUUGAAACAGGCAUAGAGACGAGGUACUGUGAGAGGUGCAAAUGUAUUUGAUAUACCCACAAGUUUUACUUAUCUAGAAUAUUUCAAAAGUUGUACUAAACUCCGAGAAUAAUCAUUCAUCAAAAUAAAUCUGUGGCUUAGGCCCAGAUUGAAGGAAUGUUGACAUCUAUUCAUCAAAAUUCAAUGUUCUAGAUCGAUUAUGAUUUUAAACAAUCUUAAGGUCAUUACUUUGAUUAUAAGCAGAAUAUCAUUAAAAUUAUCAAAUAAAAUAAAAAAAUCUGGGCGUCGGUUGACCCUGCGGGCCAGCCCCAAAACUUCCCGCUGUUUUCGACCUCAAAGAGCUCGAAAACAUUAGUGUAGAUAUAUUUUCGAGCUCUUCAAACUCGAAAAUGCUAUCACAUGCAAUUGUUUUUUUACGAUCUUUUCAAGCUCUAACAAGUUACCUGUUAUGCUGAAGUUUGAAAAUUUAAGAAUCGAAAAUCAUCAAUGAAGCGGUUUUUAAAAUUUAGUUCCUGAUUAUGUUCAGUAAAAUAAGUGUAUUGAGGCAGAAAUCAAUGUCGGGGAUCAAAAUCAAGAUUCAAAUAAGUUUUGACUCAUGUAAAAAACAAUAAAAUAUGAAAUAUCCGACAGAAAUAUUAAAAACUAUGUUUUAUCGA